AACACUGUUAACCUGCGGUACCUGCGGAAGGAUCAUUACCGUGCCGGGGGCCCUUCGGGGUCCCAUUGUGCCACCCGUGUUUACUUGUACCUGUUGCUUCGGCGGGCCUGCGAGCCUCGCUCGCUGCCGGGGGACCUAGUCCCCGGGCGCGUGCCCGCCGGAGACACACUUAAACUACUCUAACGGAUACGUCUGAGCCAAUGAUCUAAUCAUUAAAACUUUCAACAACGGAUCUCAGAU
RNAcentral lists this unclassified non-coding RNA (240 nucleotides) under soil metagenome. RNAcentral describes it as "partial contains 5.8S ribosomal RNA, internal transcribed spacer 2, and large subunit ribosomal RNA". The record is from RNAcentral.